CGGGGCAACCCUAGUAAAGUGGCGUACGGGUGAGUAACACGUAGGUAAUCUACCUUACAGUUCGGAAUAACCUGACGAAAGUCGGGCUAAUACUGGAUAGAGCGACGGAAGCCGUAACGGUUUUUUCGGGAAAGGGAGCUCGAUAAGAGCCUUCGCUGUAAGAUGAGCCUGCGUCUGAUUAGUUAGUUGGUGGGGUAAUGGCCUACCAAGACGAUGAUCAGUAGCUGGUCUGAGAGGAUGAUCAGCCACACUGGAACUGAAACACGGUCCAGACUCCUACGGGAGGCAGCAGUGGGGAAUCUUGCGCAAUGGACGAAAGUCUGACGCAGCCACGCCGCGUGAGUGAAGAAGGCCUUCGGGUUGUAAAGCUCUGUCACCUGGGACGAAAACACUUGAGGUUAACAGCCUCAGGAAUUGACGGUACCAGGGGAGGAAGCACCGGCUAACUUCGUGCCAGCAGCCGCGGUAAUACGAAGGGUGCAAGCGUUGCUCGGAAUUAUUGGGCGUAAAGGGUUGGUAGGUGGUCUUGUUUGUCUAAGGUGAAAUCCCAGGGCUUAACCCUGGAAGUGCCUUAGAAACGGCAAGACUAGAGUCCUAGAGGGGUUUGUGGAAUUCCCGGUGUAGCGGUGAAAUGCGUAGAGAUCGGGAGGAACACCAGCGGCGAAGGCGGCAAACUGGAUAGGCACUGACACUCAACAACGAAAGCGUGGGGAGCAAACAGGAUUAGAUACCCUGGUAGUCCACGCUGUAAACGAUGGGUACUAGGCUUUGUGGGAAUAGACCCCUGCAGAGCCGGAGCUAACGCAAUAAGUACCCCGCCUGGGAAGUACGGUCGCAAGACU
RNAcentral lists this ribosomal RNA (842 nucleotides) under uncultured Pseudomonadota bacterium. RNAcentral's name for it is "bacterial SSU rRNA". It matches the Rfam family "Bacterial small subunit ribosomal RNA", at positions 75 to 895 of the family's 1533-position model. Lineage: Bacteria; Pseudomonadati; Pseudomonadota. The record is from RNAcentral.